GAUGAACGCUGGCGGCGUGCCUAAUACAUGCAAGUCGAGCGGACGGACGAGAAGCUUGCUGCUCUGAUGUUAGCGGCGGACGGGUGAGUAACACGUGGAUACCCUCCCUAUAUGACUGGGAUCACUUCGGGAAACCGGCGCUAAUACCGGAUAAUAUUUUGAACCGCAUGGUUCAAAGGUGAGAGACGGUGUUUGGGUCUCUACUAGAGGGAUCCGGGCUGUAUUGGCUAGUUGGUAGGGUAACGGCUUACCACGGCAACGAUGCAUAACCGACCUCAGGGGGUGGUCGGCCACACUGGAGCGGGGACACGGUCAAGACUCCUACGGGAGGCAGCAGUCGGGAACCUUCCGCAAUGGGCGAAAGCCUGACGGAGCAAGGGCGCGUCAGUGAUGAAGGUCCUCGGAUCGUAAAACUCUGUUAUUAGGGAAGAACAUAUGUGUACGGAAAUGUGGACAUCUUGACGGUACCUAAUCAGAAAGCACCGGCUAACUACGUG
Molecule: ribosomal RNA, 497 nt
Filed under: uncultured bacterium
Lineage: Bacteria
Description: partial 16S ribosomal RNA
Rfam family: Bacterial small subunit ribosomal RNA
Source: RNAcentral